AACGAACGCUGGCGGCAUGCCUAACACAUGCAAGUCGAACGAGACCUUCGGGUCUAGUGGCGCACGGGUGCGUAACGCGUGGGAACCUUCCCUUAGGUUCGGAAUAACUCCCCGAAAGGGGUGCUAAUACCGGAUAAUUUCUUCGGACCAAAGAUUUAUCGCCUUUGGAUGGGCCCGCGUUGGAUUAGCUAGUUGGUAGGGUAAAAGCCUACCAAGGCGACGAUCCAUAGCUGGUCUGAGAGGAUGAUCAGCCACACUGGGACUGAGACACGGCCCAGACUCCUACGGGAGGCAGCAGUGGGGAAUAUUGGACAAUGGGCGAAAGCCUGAUCCAGCAAUGCCGCGUGAGUGAUGAAGGCCUUAGGGUUGUAAAGCUCUUUUACCCGGGAUGAUAAUGACAGUACCGGGAGAAUAAGCGCCGGCUAACUCCGUG
RNAcentral lists this ribosomal RNA (433 nucleotides) under uncultured bacterium. RNAcentral's name for it is "partial 16S ribosomal RNA". It matches the Rfam family "Bacterial small subunit ribosomal RNA", at positions 29 to 507 of the family's 1533-position model. The record is from RNAcentral.